UACGUAGGUGGCAAGCGUUGUCCGGAAUUAUUGGGCGUAAAGCGCGCGCAGGCGGCCUCUUAAGUCUGAUGUGAAAGCCCCCGGCUCAACCGGGGAGGGCCAUUGGAAACUGGGAGGCUUGAGUAUAGGAGAGAAGAGUGGAAUUCCACGUGUAGCGGUGAAAUGCGUAGAGAUGUGGAGGAACACCAGUGGCGAAGGCGACUCUUUGGCCUACAACUGACGCUGAGGCGCGAAAGCGUGGGGAGCAAACAGG
This 253-nucleotide ribosomal RNA is filed under the name uncultured bacterium. Its description in RNAcentral is "partial 16S ribosomal RNA". It matches the Rfam family "Bacterial small subunit ribosomal RNA", at positions 524 to 776 of the family's 1533-position model. The record is from RNAcentral.